ACCAAUGCAAAUCGGAUUCGUUCGCUACUCAUUCACGGGCGUGUUCUGGGAGUUCGGUUAGUUGCUUUAGCGACCCGACCAUUUUUAAAAUAUCAUCACGGAAGACACACGUUCACGCGCUCCUUACAAGUACUCACUUUUGCCAGUCCUUAGUGCGUGACGUUAAUCGUGGUCUUAACGGUUUUAUUUUAUAAUUUUGAAAACAUAUUUUUCAAAUUUCGUUUAACUUAUUCUCUAUAUUGUAGAAUCAGUGCAUCUCCCCGUAUUGGGGUCCAAAGUUCGGGUUCAAAGUUCGGCUUAAACUUCGGGCCACGGCUGAUCCGUUGGCCGAACGUCGACAGGCACCGAGAGGCACCGUGCACCGAUUACCCUCUACCAUACUGCAUCACCAUCUGCGGGUCGUCCACCCUGAAGCGCCUCCUCGGCUGAGCGUCAUCAACGGACUUCUCUCCACGUGAAGCCAGGACAGUGCUAGCGCGCUUUACCUCCAUAUAACAAAAUUAAUUUUGCUGACGGGCAUUCGAAUCGCGACCUUGGAAAUAAAUUUUUAUGUUCACAAUGUGGGGUUUAAUUUAAAAUCUAAACCGUCCACACGCUAAACGUGACAA
Helicoverpa armigera (cotton bollworm) is the source of this 608-nucleotide long non-coding RNA. RefSeq lists it as uncharacterized. The record is from RefSeq and is a predicted model, not a curated record. The transcript is spliced from 2 exons. Lineage: Eukaryota; Metazoa; Arthropoda; Insecta; Lepidoptera; Noctuidae.